CAUUUUUCAUCUUCUGACAUUAGCUACAAUCUUAUCGUCCAAAUCGGCACAUUAUUUGAGUGGCAUCCUCUCUACUUCAUGGUCAACUUUAUUCAUAACUCUAGGAUAACUUUUUAUGUUACAAACGAACUUUUAAAAGUGCUUAUUUUCACAAAUCACAAUUCUAGAUGAUCACCAUUCUGGCGAGUAAUAUUAACAGCAUUGCUCAGGUCGCUUCGCAUGCCUAUAUUAAAAAUGAAAGAAAUUUAUAUAUUUUACUUUCUUCUCCCGCGUAAUAAAUCAGUUACACUAACUCACAUUAUAACCUCAAGACGCUACAUGUGGUCCCCAUACAGCGCUGUUCGAUUUUAAAUUGUUUUGAUAAAAAAUAUCGAUUCAUGUUUAUGGCAAAAAAGGUUGGGAAAAAAGCUUUAGAUAGUAAUUAACAACGGUUUGUAAACACAAUCUGACUAUUUAAACGUUUUCAUGAUUCCAAUAAGAGUGUUUAUUAAAUAUUCAUGAAAUAUGUCAAACAAAAUAUCUUUAAAAAUACCCAUUACGUUAAUGUUAAUAAUAAACCUUUCUUAAUUUAGAGGAGUUUCCAAUACGUUUCUGUUGUGCAAUGAGGUUUACGUAGUCAACUAUUUUAAGGCUUAACUAUUAAUGUUUUUGUACGUCGAGUUUACCUAUUAUACAUGUAUGUUUAUUUUAAUGUGUUAUGUAAUUGAAACUGUGAUAAUUAGGUUGACUUCGAAAACUAGGUGUGAAAUUCUUUCAUAAUUGUAUAAUGGGACCGAAAUUUGACUGAAAAAUAGGAGGUAUUCGGAUAAUGCAUUUCGAAUAAUAAGUUCGUAUUUAUAUUGAUUUAGAUAGAGAUAAAACGAGACCGCCGACAUUCUUCAGAUAAUGAAUAACCGGAGUCGGACUGUAAAUGGUAAAUUUGCGUGAAAAAUUUAGUGUCAGAUUGACAGGGAAUGCACAGUGCGUGGCUAUUAGGAGUUAAAAUGAUAAACUGAGGAAGUGAAACGUAAUAGAUAUGAAAACAGAAAAUGUGAAUGUUAAUCAUAUAGACGUUUUCCAAGUUGUUACAAGCAUUUUAGCUUUUAUUUCUCUUAUACUUCUCUUGUUGGUGGUUUUAAUUUGUUAUUUCAUUUCACUAGAAUCAUCGUAUUCAAAAACUGGAUUUUAUGAUAAAGUUCUGGACCAAUAUUCAAUUCCUUGUGUAAAUGUUUCGUUGAGUCCGGACGAAGACUUUAGCCUUUUCACCAUUGACAAACAUAAGGUCGUGACUUUUAAAGAGAAACACAGUUAUUUUUGCAAAUUCGUCAACCUUACAGAUUUGAUUCCAAAGUUUGUUGAUCGAAUUGGAAGACAAAGGCUUGCUACAGG
Ruditapes philippinarum (Manila clam) is the source of this 1368-nucleotide long non-coding RNA. RefSeq lists it as uncharacterized. The record is from RefSeq and is a predicted model, not a curated record. Lineage: Eukaryota; Metazoa; Mollusca; Bivalvia; Venerida; Veneridae. The transcript has 2 exons.